Molecule: long non-coding RNA, 1259 nt
Filed under: Monodelphis domestica (gray short-tailed opossum)
Lineage: Eukaryota; Metazoa; Chordata; Mammalia; Didelphimorphia; Didelphidae
Description: lncRNA (ENSMODG00000037275.1)
Source: RNAcentral
CUAUUAUCAUGACAAUAAUUUUGACCUCAUAGACACCCUGAAGGGAUUGGGGACACCCUGAGAGGUCUCUGGACCAUCCUUGGAGAACUGCUGUUCUAAAUGAGCCCUCCUCAGCAGUGGGAGGAAGAAAAGAAGGAAGAAAUGGCUUUUGGUUUGAGCCCAAGCAAAAGGGAGCUGACAGGGGUGCCAAGAGGCAGGAGAUGAGAAGAGAGGACAUUUCAGGCAUCAGGAAAACAACUUGUGCAGAGGAACAUUAAUGGGAGAAGGCUUAUGGAAUUAAUAGUAAAUAGACCAGGGUGGGUGGAUCAUAAAGUGCAUGAACAGAAUGGAGUAAGGUGCGAUGAGCCUGGAAAGCUAGCCUGGAGCCAGGUUGUCAAGGAUUUCUAAUGCCAAACAGAGACAUUUGUAUUCUAUUCUAAGGGUGAAGGGGAUACUUCCCCAAUAGAAAGGAAACUCGAAGCUCUUUGACGGCUAGAGACAGUCUUUUUCCUUUCUUUGUAUUUCCAACGCAUCGCUGUACCUGGAGGACAGUUGUUGCUUAAUAAAUGCUUAUUGACGACGGACCAACUAAGCUCCACUUUAGGACUAUUCAGAUAGAGGUGCCAUUUUAUCAAUAUCUUAUGCAGGUGCCUUUUGCCGCCAUGACUCUCAUCACAAGGUCUCUGCCUACCCAUGAUUCUUCGCUCCAUCCUCUUGUGAGGCUGCCGCCUCCGAAGUCCUGGGUACCUUCUAGAACUCUUACCACUGAGCAGAGACAUCACACAUCCCUUGUCCCUCUCUUGCACUCUAUGAAGGCACUCUCUUUAUCUGGGGAACUUUUCAUGGAAGGUUACCAAUGGUAGCCUGGAGAGUGUGCCAGUCCUUUUUGAGGUGCCAAUCUGCUUCCUCUGGAGAGAAUGAUUCCUAACCCGUCCCUGAAAGGAAGAUAAACAUAGGAGCAGAAGCCAGGGAGUUGUCUUCAUUAGUGGAAAUUUAUUGAUUAGGCCAGUUCUCUCCAUGACACUGAUGGCAAAUUAACCAGAUAUGAACAGAAAAAGCCCAGGAGAGAUAGCUAGUAUCAGCUCUGUGGACUUCUGUCUCUGCUUGGAAUCCUUGCUUGGUUGAGAAGAUGCUGGGAGUCAACCAGACCCUGGUGCUGCACUUCACUGGGGAAGGCACUCAGCAGAUCACCUUCCUCUUCUUUAUAAUAUGUACUCCUUAGUGCCUUUUUGUCAAGGAAGAAAGGGAAAGAAAGGCCGUGGGGCUGAGCAGUGACAACU